UUGUGGAGGAGGACGCCGAAGGUGGGGCUAGUGACUGGGGUGAAGUCGUAACAAGGUAGCCGUACCGGAAGGUGCGGCUGGAUCACCUCCUAACAGGGAGACAACAAAAUGUUUAAUAUUAUUAUUUUGUCACCUUAGGUCGAUCGGUAUCUCACAUUCUUAAUUUUUUAAGGAUUUUAUUUCCUAAGUUUUUUCUAGGUCACACCCAUUACUUUUCCUGGGCCAUUAGCUCAGGUGGUUAGAGCGCACCCCUGAUAAGGGUGAGGUCCCUGGUUCAAGUCCAGGAUGGCCCAUAUCUCUAUGUUGGGGGUAUAGCUCAGUUGGUAGAGCGCCUGCUUUGCAAGCAGGAUGUCAGCGGUUCGAGUCCGCUUACCUCCACUGAUUACCACCUCUUCCAUAAUUAUUAUUAAGGAAAUGUUUUGAGUAGUGAUCAAAUUCUGAACGAAUCUAGCUUCCUAAUGAACUUAUUAAGAUGCUGGACUCAUUGAAUUAUUUUCAUUGUUUUCAGAGAACCUUGACAACUGCAUAGAUUAUUUUAAAGACAAUAAGCAUCUUAUGAUGCAGAUUUAUUAUUUGUGCGAAUGCAUUAAUAACAAUUCUAUUAAGCUGAUGCUUCAAUUAUGAAGUUAUUGGUCAAGCUACAA
This 644-nucleotide unclassified non-coding RNA is filed under the name uncultured Prochlorococcus sp. RNAcentral's name for it is "partial 16S-23S ribosomal RNA intergenic spacer; may also contain 16S ribosomal RNA and 23S ribosomal RNA". The stretch from base 1 to 93 matches the Rfam family "Bacterial small subunit ribosomal RNA", at positions 1441 to 1533 of the family's 1533-position model. The record is from RNAcentral. Lineage: Bacteria; Bacillati; Cyanobacteriota; Cyanophyceae; Synechococcales; Prochlorococcaceae.